Non-coding RNA from Pelobates cultripes (western spadefoot toad), 314 nucleotides. The record is from the annotation of a GenBank genome assembly. Lineage: Eukaryota; Metazoa; Chordata; Amphibia; Anura; Pelobatidae.
UCGAGUUGUCCAGGGGAAAGUCUUGCAUUGGAGUCUCCGAGAGUGUGUAUUACACCGCCUGUGGUGGACCGGUGUGUGGUGGUAUCUCGUGCGGUCUCGGAUUAGGCGGUGGUCUGAUUUGUAGUCUGGUAUGGCUAGGGGGAGAGGUAUGACUGAAGAGUCAACUGAGCCAGAGAUGUUAGCCCGAGUCUGUUGGGGGGUGGCUGGUUUGGGGGUUGCUGUCCGGGAAAGGUUUGUUGUGAGAGGCUUAAUCAGCGGCGCCCCGUGGGUGUGUCAUUUUCACUGUUCAAGGGGGCGAUAGGGCGGAUAAGGUG